AAUCAACGCUGGCGGCGUGCCUCAGACAUGCAAGUCGAACGCGAAAAGUUCCCUUCGGGGGAUGAGUAGAGUGGCGCACGGGUGAGUAACACGUAGGUAAUCUACCUUUGGAUGGGGAAUAACAACCGGAAACGGUUGCUAAUACCGCAUAAUGCAGCGGCACCUAAUGGUGACAGUUGUUAAAGCGGGGGAUCGAAAGACCUCGCGUCUGAAGAGGAGCCUGCGGCGGAUUAGCUAGUUGGUAAGGUAACGGCUUACCAAGGCGACGAUCCGUAG
This 276-nucleotide ribosomal RNA is filed under the name uncultured bacterium. RNAcentral describes it as "partial 16S ribosomal RNA". It matches the Rfam family "Bacterial small subunit ribosomal RNA", at positions 32 to 286 of the family's 1533-position model. The record is from RNAcentral.